Molecule: ribosomal RNA, 506 nt
Filed under: uncultured bacterium
Lineage: Bacteria
Description: partial 16S ribosomal RNA
Rfam family: Bacterial small subunit ribosomal RNA
Source: RNAcentral
AUUGAACGCUGGCGGCAGGCCUAACACAUGCAAGUCGAGCGGCAGCGGAAAGUAGCUUGCCACUUUGCCGGCGAGCGGCGGACGGGUGAGUAAUGUCUGGGAAACUGCCUGAUGGAGGGGGAUAACUACUGGAAACGGUAGCUAAUACCGCAUAACGUCGCAAGACCAAAGAGGGGGACCUUCGGGCCUCUUGACAUCAGAUGUGCCCGGAUGGGAUUAGCUAGUAGGUGGGGUAACGGCUCACCUAGGGGGCGAUCCCUAGCUGGUCUGAGAGGAUGACCAGCCACACUGGAACUGAGACACGGUCCAGACUCCUACGGGAGGCAGCAGUGGGGAAUAUUGCACAAUGGGCGCAAGCCUGAUGCAGCCAUGCCGCGUGUAUGAAGAAGGCCUUCGGGUUGUAAAGUACUUUCAGCGGGGAGGAAGGUGUUGAGGUUAAUAACCUCAGCAAUUGACGUUACCCGCAGAAGAAGCACCGGCUAACUCCGUGCCAGCAGCCGCAGUAA